This 443-nucleotide ribosomal RNA is filed under the name uncultured soil bacterium. RNAcentral's name for it is "bacterial SSU rRNA". It matches the Rfam family "Bacterial small subunit ribosomal RNA", at positions 26 to 518 of the family's 1533-position model. The record is from RNAcentral.
AGAACGAACGCUGGCGGCAGGCUUAACACGUGCAAGUCGAGCGCCCCGCAAGGGGGAGCGGCAGACGGGUGAGUAACGCGUGGGAAUCUACCCAUCUCUACGGAACAACUCCGGGAAACUGGAGCUAAUACCGUAUACGUCCUUCGGGAGAAAGAUUUAUCGGAGAUGGAUGAGCCCGCGUUGGAUUAGCUAGUUGGUGGGGUAAUGGCCUACCAAGGCGACGAUCCAUAGCUGGUCUGAGAGGAUGAUCAGCCACACUGGGACUGAGACACGGCCCAGACUCCUACGGGAGGCAGCAGUGGGGAAUAUUGGACAAUGGGCGAAAGCCUGAUCCAGCCAUGCCGCGUGAGUGAUGAAGGCCCUAGGGUUGUAAAGCUACUUCACCGGUGAAGAUAAUGACGGUAACCGAGAAGAAGCCCCGGAUAACUCGUGCCAGCAGCCGC